UUUUCUUAUGAUAUCUUUGGCAUAAUAGAAGCAUUUCAUUGAAAACUCUACACCAUUACCACUCUUGUCAACUUUGAUUGUAGUUGAAAGUUGAGUAUCAAUCAUAUUAACAAAGUCUUACAAUUCAAAAGAUGUUUCCGCAUUACUUUUUUAAAAGUUCUAAGUAACAUUGAUUACUUUAUUACAGCUAGAGAUACGUAGGAGUAAUCAUUUUCUUAUUACGCACAAAAAAGUUUUUUUGAUUUUUC
Molecule: long non-coding RNA, 248 nt
Filed under: Lupinus angustifolius (narrow-leaved blue lupine)
Lineage: Eukaryota; Viridiplantae; Streptophyta; Magnoliopsida; Fabales; Fabaceae
Description: long non-coding RNA (LANG_LNC003142)
Source: RNAcentral